RNAcentral lists this long non-coding RNA (15625 nucleotides) under Populus tremula. Its description in RNAcentral is "long non-coding RNA (PTRE_LNC000826)". The stretch from base 4691 to 4845 matches the Rfam family "MIR2912 microRNA precursor family". Lineage: Eukaryota; Viridiplantae; Streptophyta; Magnoliopsida; Malpighiales; Salicaceae. The record is from RNAcentral.
AAUUAUUAAGGGAGCAAGAAAUCCUUCUGCGUAUCAAACACUACGAAGUCUAUCAAGCCAUCAUAAGAGUAGACGGAUAGCAAAAUUAUAAGCUAUAUAUUAUAUCGGUGAAACCUACCAUGAUUAAUUGUAUGUUCCGAUAUUUUUUUUCCCGUAGUUGUUAUAGUUGCUAUAAAAUUGCUUUCAAAAUUUUAUUAAAAAAAUGAUCUCAAAAUUUUAAUUUCAAAUCGUAAUCUUUAGCAAGUUAGGGAGGAAAAAGUCACAUCAUAUAUGUUAUAUUUAUUAGGUUUAAUAUUUUGUUCCUGCUUUGUGUUGAUGAUCUAAAAAUUCCAAUCCACUAGUCAAAUAGGCAUAAUUCGCUAUUACAUCCACUCAUGAAAUCAUCCAACAAUCAUCUAGGUAUAUGCUGUCUAAUUUAUUAUGCAAAUUGGCAGGUGUCACGGCUCAAGUGUGGUGGUUUUGUCUUUGCCCUCCGCGUCAACCAUACCAUGUGUGAUGGCCAAGUAUUAGUGCAAUUCAUGGCAGCGGUGGCUGAGAUGGCCCGCGGAGCCAACGCCCCAUCUGUCCCUCCAGUGUGGGAAAGACAUGUCCUUAAUGCAACUGAACCACCUCGAGUUACAUGCAGACACCGAGCGUACGAGGAGGUAGCUGGCUCCACGAGCUCAAUUCUUACCCAUGAUCAUCUGGUUCAUCGUUCAUUUUUCUUUAGCCCUUCAUAUAACUGCUCUUCGAAGAUUGGUCCCACCUCACCUCAGCCAUUGUUCUAGUUUCGAAAUAUUAACGGCAUGUCUUUGGAUAUGUCGGACCAUUGCCCUCCAACCAGAUCCUAAUGAAGAAAUGCGCAUAAUUUGCCUCGUCAAUGCUCGUGAAAAAUUCAACCCUCCGUUAUUACCAAGAGGUUACUAUGGCAAUGGUUUUGGUCUUCUAGCAGCAGUGGCCACUGCGGGGGAACUUUCGAGAAAGCCAAUUGGAUAUGCUUUGGAGAUGGUAAGGAAGGUCUCUUUUUACUGUGCCAGGGACCUACAUAGUGUCGGACUUGAGACGUGCCGGACUUGAAAAGGUAGAUUUCGGAUGGGGAAAUGCUAUCUAUGGUGGGACUGCAAAAGCCAUCUCUGAACUUGCAAGCUUUUAUAUUCCGUUUACAAAUAAGAAAGGAGAAGAUGGGAUCGUUGUACCAUUUUGCUUGCCAUCUCCUGCUGUGGAAAGAUUUUACAAGGAGCUAAAGGGACAGCUAGUUAGCGGAGGAGCAAAUUCCAAGUUAAUCGUAUCUUCUUUGUAAGUUAAAUUGUUUACUCUUAUUUUCUAUGUACCACGUAUCAUUUAUUUAUGUUUCGUUCGAAUUUCAUUUUUUAAUAUUAGUACCUUUUAUGUCCAUUCAGCAUGUGCUAUGACUAUUAAUAAUAUGAGUGUUUAUUUUUGUAUUUCUUGUUAGGGCUGUUAUUUUUUAAAAAAAAUUAAAUUGUAGUUGGAUAUAAAAUAAUCAAAGAGGAUAUUAAUUUUUUUUCAUACAUGACAUUGAACAUUUAAUAUAUAUGUAAGAUCAACAACUUGUAACAGAAAACUUUUAUAAUUCUCUCAUCAAAUUUAAAGUAGUUUGACAAGGAUAAUGAUUGUUGUUGAAACAUUAUUUUAUAGGUUUUACAAUCGUUUAUGGUAAAAAAAAAAAAAAAAAAAAAAAAAAAAAAAAACACAAUAUCUUUAACAGAGGUUUUAAGAAGGGAAGAGGUCAAUGAAAGAAAGUGUGAAAUAUUGAUGGAAACAAGAAGACGAUGAGAAACAGUCAGGGAGGAGAGGAGGGAUAUUUUGGUCAAGAGAUAAUUGAACGGUUUUCAAUAUUCAAUAAGUAGGUAUGUAUGGCAUGCUUUUGAUGAAUCUCUAUGGUGGGACCACAAUUAAUAUAUGGGUAUCACAUUCUUCCACCAACAUUUUAUUGUUUUUCAAACAAUUAUUAAUUGUGGAUACACCACACCACAAUUUCUACCACAAAAAUAAAUGCCCUCUAACAAAUCUAUGCUUGCCAGCUCCUACCAUGGAAAGACUUUUCAAGGAGCUUGAAGACAUGCUUAAGGUCUGAUACAAAAAAAAACAAAAAAAGAAUGAGAGGAUGAAUAAUACUUAACACGUAUCCUUCAUGCAUGUUUCGUUUGAAUUUUAUUUUUAAUAUUAGGACGACAUUUACCUUUUAUGAAUAUUAAUAAAUAAUUUGUCUUGGUUAUGAUUAAGUAAAACUAUAAAUGAGUGUGUUGUAAACACAAGGUUGAUGAGUCUGUCCUUGAAGAAAAGGACUCUUUUGUAUAUUUGUAACUAUUGGAUUGUACCGUAACUUACAACCUCCCUCCCUAAAUUAAUGUUUGAAUUGAUAGAUGGAUAGAUAACAUUAAAAACCUAUAAUUAAUUAACCCUGACGAGUUAUAGGGAAAAAGAAAAGUCGAACACAAACUUAAAUAGAAAAUGAGAAAUGAAUGAAUCAUACAAUAAUGUGUUUACAUCAAAAUUAGAUAUUUUUUUAGAUUAACAUUAGUGUUUAGUCUAGUUUCCAUAUACCAUAACUAAUUCUAUAGAUCCUGAAGUUAACGAUCAUGUAAAUUUUUAGUGUCCUUGAGAUUUAUGGGAUUCAAACUAGUAACCUUCAAUGAACAAAUUCGGGACUUGACUAGUUAAACUACAUCUUUCAUGGUUAAAAAAUAGAUAUUUAGUACUUAAAGUGGCACACACUAUGCCACGGGCUCACCUUUUAUACUUAUAAAAAAUUUAGGUCCUAAUUCUAGAAGGACCUAAGACUAUUUUGGUCUUGUUUGGCCAUGACUCAAGGUUAUUUGGAUCCAGAACCCGGUUAGACCCAAGAUUAUUUUGGAUCCUGCAGCCUACAGGACUUAAGGUUAUUUUAGAUCCUGCACCAGGCAGGACCAAGGCUAUUUUAUAUCCUGCACAGGGCAGGACCCAAGGCUACUUCGAUUCUGAACAUGGUCGAACCCAAGGCUAUAUUUGAGUCCUAUAGGCUUUAGGACCAAGGCUAUGUUGGGUCUUGCAGCCUCUAGUACCCGAGGAUACUUUGGGUCUUGCACUGGACCCGAAGCUAUUUUGAGUCCUGCACGACUCGGACACAAUGCUAUUUAUGUCUUGAAUAGGCCCGACCCAAAGCUAUUUUGGGUCAUGCACCUGGCCGAACCAAAUGCUAUUUUGGGUCCUGCCCCGACCCGACCCAAGGCUAAUCUGAGUCCAGUAGAGGCCAAGAUCCAAGGCUAUUUGGGGUCUUGCACUCGGCCAAACCCAAUGCUAUUCUGGGUUCUGCCUAGCCGGAACGAAGGUUAUUUUGGGUCUUGACCGGCUCGGAUCCAAGGCUAUUAAGGUCCUAACCCAGCCAAGUGACACGACCAAAAGAUUGAUGUCUUCUCCCAAGUGCAGGAAUGUCGAAGUAAUAAAUAACCCGGCAAGACUGGGGUCGAACCACAGAGAGGUUAAUUGUAUAAAUUAUAAAUAACAAGACAACAACAACAACAACAACAACAACAACAAUAAUAACAAUAAUAGUAAUAAUAAUAAUAAUAAUAAUACUCAAUACGUGGCGUUGUUAUAUCUGAGAAUGAUCUAAAAGAUCGAAUCACAGGUUUCCAGCCUAUAUACUGAGUUUAUGAAAAGAUCAAAAAGAUAUAUUAUAUAAUAUAAAUAGAAUGUAAAUAAUAAUAAUAUUAAUAAUAAUAAUAGUAAUAAUAAUAAUAGUAAUGUAGUAGUAGUAGUAGUAGUAUAUAAUAAUAAUAAAGAAGAAGAGAAGAAAUUAAUGAGAACUUUGAGAUGGAAGAUUAAUGUAAGGAUUAAACAAUGAUAAAAACAAAUGUCAAGGUUAGAGGAUCCACCAAUGGUAUUUCAAACAAGUAUAGUAUAAACUCUUAUUACUCAAUUUGGAAACCACACACGAAGGAGGUUCCAAUCGGAUGAUUUGUCAUUAAUAGCUCAUUAUAAAUUAUUAACAUGAUCAUAUUAAUUAUCUUAUUUACAUAACACCAAACUUUUAAAUAUUGUCAGGAAUUCAUGAUGUUAACAACAAAUCAAGUUCCUUUCAUAGCCCAGGUGUAGGUAAUACCAUACGGUUGGGCUAUGAGAGUGCCAAGCAUUUGUUGUACCAAGUGUUAUACAACACAAAUCUAGAUUAACCAUUUAACAAGCAAGGUAUUAAGAAUUAGUAAGAUAAAAAGAUAAGACAUGUUAAUAUUAAACAUUAAGGUCCAUGUUGAGUUUACACUAUACUUAUUCUUACACCAUUAGUGUAACCUUUUCACCUUGACAUAAUAAACUUAGCUAAACAUAAUGAAGAAGAGAAACAUAAAUAAACAAAACAAGAACAUAAAGAAAAUACAAGUUAACUAAGUAAAGGAAAGGAAAUGAAAAGCAUAAACAAGAUAUUAAUGAAAGCAAAACUUAAAAUUACAAAAAAUAUAAAGAGAGAAAUAAAGAGCAUGAACUUGAUCUGAACAACCAAGCCCUAAAUACAUGGCAAAUGCCUCCUUUUAUAGGCCAAAAUUGGAAUUAUUGAUUUGAUGACUAAUUGUUGAGUGGGUGGCCAACUUUUGACUUGUGAAAAUCCUUAUCUUCUUGUCUGAAUAAAACAAAAAUGCUAGCAUCAGAACUGGGUCCACUUGAAAACAUGAAAGUUGUAGGAAAUUGUCUUAAAAAAAAUGAGGUCAUUUGGACUUCUAGAACUAGAUAUGGGCCAAACACUGAACAGUGUUCGGGCUGCAGGACAAAUUCAGACUUCUCCGUUGUUGCUAUAAUUAGGACUUGAAAACGGCCUUUUUAGAUCUUGAUGAAAACAUGAAAGUUGUAGGCCUAUAUCUUACUGAAUCUGUGUAAAAAUUUGAGAUCAUUUGGACAUCUAGAACUUGAGAUAUGACCCAAUUACCGAACAGUGUUUCAGUUUGGACUGCACCAACAUCUCUUUUCUAAGUUUCACCCUCUCUUUAUCUUCACACAAAUUUCAGUAGUUGAAUUUAUCAAUCAAUGCUUUGAUUUAUAGGGCUGCAUUUAAGAUGAAAAUUUACCAUAUAUUAGGGCAUUUUAUAGUAUUAGACUUGUUAUUAUAAAACAUGCUUUAGUUAAGGAGUUAUUGAUACUUUAAGUGCAAAAUGAUGAUAUAAAACAUUGAUAAAUAUGCAAUUUUAAGUACUAAUCACCCCCCCCAACCAACUUAUUACUAGUCCCUAGUAAUCAAAGCGUUAAAAUAGAAAAAUAAUUUGCAAAUUCUAUAAAGCAAGGCAUUCAUCAUUCAACUUACUUUAAUUUAUCUAGAUAAACAAACUCUCAUUAAAUUCAUAUAUCUGCUCAAUACCUCUUAAACAAGAUAUCACUAAACCUUUCUUUUGUGCUCAAAAUAUCAACAUAUAGUUAUGGGGCUUUACUUGGAAGAAAAGCAAAUUUGUGUUCUAAUGUUUAAGGUUAACUUCCUUAGGUUGAGAUUUUUUUUUUCUUUUUCUUUAUUUAGUUAUUUAUUUAUAUACACAUACAACUUGAAACACAAUGUAUCUUUAACUCAUGUAACGAGUUUUAGGCUAAUGACUCCCAGACCAGCUGGUCUUAGGGCAUUAGGUGUUGAGACACCCCUACGAGCUUAGCAACUCGGGUUGCAGAUACUUAUACGUAGAUAGUGCAAUGUUUGAUUCCCUUAAGCUUUUCUCCUCAACCCAUGUAACAAGCGUUGGGCCAAUAGCUCCCAAGUUAGUUGACUUUAUGGUAUUAAGUGUUAAAACACCCUUUCGAGCUUAAUUGCUUAGGUUAGGGAGGCUACGAAACCAAACUUAUCUACCUUUUUAUUAUCAUUAUUUUUUUUGUUUUUUUUUUUUUUGCAAAUUAUGUACUAUCCCUUUCCCUUAGUUGUUACCUUUAACAAAAGAACAUAAAUAAUGUAAUAAUCCAAUGUGCAACCCACAAUCAUAUGUUAAAGUGUGUGUGUGAAAAUGAAGAUUUAAAAAUACUUGUUAAAUGAGCAUAUGAGCAGAAUCAAGUGCUACCAAUACGAGAGUUUGUAAACCUGAAUAUUUCAAGAAGUAUUCUGAUAGACCUUGUUAAGAAUGUUUACUAAGAUGCGUCUCAAGAGUCACUUUAACAAAAGAACUCCUUUUACUCUGCCAUCCUAGUAACAACAGUUUUGCAAAUAGUUUAUGAAAUAGAAAACACAGUUUUUUUUUUUUAAAUAUCAACUACUACCCUUUCCCCCCAACCAAAAUGAGACAUUGUCCUCAAUGUCUUAAGGUAGAAAGAUAGAGUAUAGAAGACAUCACCUGAAAUAACGAACACUGACAAACCUGAAACACACUUAAACAAAUAUAAGAAACAACAAAACACAAUAAUAAAACCAAAAGACGCAAAUAUUUAUAGAUGAGAAAUUGAAAAUGCAAUCACACCACCUAUAUGUAGGCCAGUCAUAGUCUCACACUCUCUCUCUCUCUUUAUUUAUUUAUUUUGAAAAAGCAUGUGUAUGUACAGGUAUUUGUGAUUGUGGCUCACAUCUUUCCUUGGUUUUACGUCCAAGAACGACUUAAACGCCCUCUAUGGGUCGGGGAUAGGCGUCCCAUCCAGUUUUCUUAAAAACUGGCAAACAAGGUCUUUUUUAGUCAGAUUCCCAAGACUAAGUCGAGCAUGUUUUUUAUGGAAUUGGGGCCAUAAAUCAUAAAUUACACGAUGCACAUCUCCACUAGGGUGCGUCUCAAGAGUCAAUAGAAGAUUAUCUAAAGACCCCUUACUCAGGCCAUCCUUAAUGAAUUGUAUUUUAUCUUCACGGUUUACAGAUACCAUUCCUAAAGAACGACAUGUCGCAUUACAAGUCCAUCUAGCACAUCGGUGACAGACUUUCAGUCGUUUUGCACGACGUUUCUUUGCAAAAGUGCUCUUACAUGUUCCAGGCAUGUAUGAAAUGAAAGAAUUGGAGGACUCACCUGAUAAUCGGACCUUUGCUUCAAUUAGCCAACGAAUAUCUUCAGGAAUUCCAUGGUUCAUUAAUAGCCUCAAUCUUUCACACCUAGCACGGUAAAUUUUUAUAAUCGGAUUCUGAGGCAGAGCGGGAAAAUAUUUUUUCAAUUUUUCAAGAGUGGUGUCCAUUUUCAAAUGAGAAUUGGAUUAGAGAUUCAAAGAAAGAAGAAAGAGCAGAGAAUUGCACAAUUAUAUACACAAAUAUCAGUUAUCAUGGGAAACUGAAAGCACCGACUUAAGAGUCACGGAGUACCGUUAUCCGCCAUUUGACCGGGGUGAGAGAAACUAGCAAAACAAAAAUCAAACCAAAAAGGAACACAAAACAAAUUGUGAGAAAAAUAAAAUAAUCAACCUUUAUCUAAAAGAUCAUUGAUAAAUAUGCAUAUAAAACCUUGAUAAAUAUGCACUUUUAAGUACUAAUCACCAGGACCCAAGGCUAUUUUGGGUUCUGCAUAAUGUUGGACCCAACAUAGAUUUUAUAAUAAUAAUAAUAAUAUUUAACUUGUCUAUCCAAGUUCUUAUAUUUUUUAUUAAUUUUUUUAAAAAAUGUAUGGUUUUUCUUCGAUGGUAAUAAUAAUUUUUUUUUUAAUUUACUAAUGAUAAUAAUAAUAAUUCAAAUAAUAAUAUUUGUUUAGUAAUACUUUGAAUUAUAAUAAAAAUAAUAAUACUAUAACUUCGGGAAAAAAAAUGAUUUUUUACACGUUAUCCGUUUGUUAUUUUUGUUUUGAUUAGGGGUACAAUGAUAUUUUACUUUUCUUUUUCAAAUAGUAAAAUACUUUUACUACCCUUAAAAGUAAACAAAUCAGAUAAUUAGUCUCCAGGUUUUUUUUCUUUUAAGAUUUUACAUUUUCUAGCACAAUGAAUUUUUUAAGAUAACCUUAGUUUCAAAUUUUAAUUAAUCUUUCUUUGGGGGAAUUUUCAUAUUUUAAAUAUAUAUAGUCUCUCAUAAUAAUUAAAAAAUAUUAUAAAAAAAGUCAGACAUGUGAGAGAAGCCACAUCAUUCCAGUGGAGUAAGCUCACUCCAAUGAGGUUAAAAGUCUGCUUCUGUAAUGUCAUUCAAUUAUUUAUCCUCUAAUUUAGUCCUCAGGUUUAUCUUUUAAUUUUUAUGAAAUUUAUUUCUCUUUUCAAUUUAGCCCUUCAAUCCAAAAUUAUCCAUUCUUUAUUUUUUUAAAAAAAGUUUGGUCCUCAAUUUUUUAAUUGAUAUUUUUUUUUUGAAUCAUUUUUUUAUAAUUGAUUUUUUUUUAAUUUUAUCAUUUGACAAUUGAUUUAUUAACAUUUGGGUUUCAUAGUUUUUCUAUGUUUGGUGUUUCUAGUCAAAUGGUUGGGUCACAAGUCCAAAUCGUUUUUUUUUUGACAUAUUUUCUUUUUCGAUCUCAUUACUUGAUGUUUAUUUUGAUUUUUAUUAGAGUAGGCUUUAUGGUUUUAUUUGUCUUUUUAUAAGAUUAUCUCGAUCUCAUGACGUAACUUAUGAGUUUGACAGGUUAACCUAAGUGAGCUCGCAUAUUUUUUUUUCUUUUAAUUAUUGUUUUUUCUUUUGGAUUCUUUUGUAUGAUUGCUUCUUUUUUUUUAUCCUUCAAUAUUUGAUCUGUUAGGAAUUAGUCUUCAUUGUUUUUCCAUGUUUAGUGUUUCCAGUCAAAUUGUCUGAGACAUAGGUUUUAUAGGUCAAUACGAGUCAACAUUGUUUUUUUUUUUCAUGAUUCAACAUUUAUUUUUAUUAUUUGAUAUUAUUUUUUCUCUUUCUUUAAAACACAUUUGUGUUGACUGAACCUUAAAUGUUUUCUUAGUUUUUUUUAUUCAACUUGCAGCAGAAUGUGGGUCGCGUGUAGAGAAUGAGACUGUGCUUAAAGAAAAGUACUCAAUUCCAAAUUUAUAAUUGUUGGAUAUUUUUUUUUAAUUCUACCAUAACCAACAACUAUGUGAUGCAACCUGCGUACCUACCAAUUCAAAUUAACCAAGCUUCAUAUUUAUGUUUGAAUUGAUGGAUUAAUUAACCUGCGAUUGAUGAGGGAUAGGGAAAAAGAAAAUCCAAACACCUACUUAGUAGAAAAUGAGAAAUGAUUGAAUGACACAAUUUCAAUUUGUGUGUUAACAUCAAUAUUCACAUGUGAAUUCGAUAAUAAUAUACUUAAAUAAGAAAAAAAAAUCAAUCAUGAAUAGUAUACCAACAAAAUUUGAACAGCUCUAAUCAAUCAAGAAAAUCCAAAAGAAAUUGAUCAUAAGACCAAGUGUCACGACAUACAAAACAAUAUGAUCGAUUGUAAGUAUUAAAAUUUUUAUGAAUGACUAGGAUGUUAAAUCCUACUCAAAGUUGGAAUCUCUUAUAAUUUAAAUUGACAAAGUUGUUUAGCUUAGUUAGGAAUUCAUAUGAUUAUCAACAAAUGAAAGUUUAGUUUGUAUUAAAAAUUCAAUAUACCUCCUUAUCUGAUAUAUGUUACCUAUAAAAUAUUAGAAUUAUAUACUUAGAUUAAAAUUCUAACACUAUAUGGAUUAAAAUAGGGUCAUCCAACUACUUUAAAAAAUGGCUAGCCCAUACAUGUCAUUGCUUUUAUUUACAACUUUAUAUAUCUUUUUUUUUCUUUCAAAUCAUUUUCAUGUUUACCUAUUGUUCUUCUCAUGUGAUGUUGCUUGGGAUAGAUAUGUAUUUCUUAAGAUUUAAAAUCUUGAAAUACCCACAAUUUAUUUAAUUUUAUGAGACUAUUACUUGUCUUUGCUUAUGUUCCUAGUUGUAGUUUCUUCUUAUUAGAAGGAAGAAAUUGAUAAUAGGUUACAUAAUUGAUCAGAAUAUUAAUGAUUAGUUAAUUAGUUGAUUAUGUUAGUUUUAAUAUGCCAUAUAACCAGGUGGUUGGUUACAUGUGAUAUUAUUAUAUUCAUGUAAAUAUAUAAUUAUUAUUAGUAAAGACUUAAUGUAUUUUUAAUAUUCAUAUAAUAUAAGAUUAAUGAAUCUAGAGUAAAGAUAAAGUCUAUGAGACAAAAAUAUUGUACAAAGAAAAUUAUAAAGUUUCUAUAAUUAUGAGAUUUUUAUUGCAUCAAAACAUUACUUCUAAUAUGUUCCUCGUUGAUACUCUCUUAAAUAUUGAACAUUCAUUAAAGCCGUAAAGAUUGAUACAUAUUAUGUUAUUUUCUUUAUGAAAGGAAGUAGUUGUUCUCAUAAGUUGAGGUAUAAGGGAUACCUAGAACUAAUAUGUAAGUUUUUAUCAUAAGACAUGUACACUAGAUUGACUUGCAUGAGAAUUCCAUAAAAAAAAGAUCACCAAUGUCUAUGGAAAAGCUCAUGUGACUGUUAUGUAAAUGAUCUUUAUACUUGAGAUUACUAAGUAAUCUUAUAUAGAGAAUGUUAUGUUUUGAUUUUAUUACUUUUUAUCUUAAUUAAGAUAACGAAGGGCAAACAUUGAGUAUAAUAUGAACUAUAUAAAGGUAUUUGAGUGAUCAAGAGAGCAUGAUCAUCACCUUAGAUGAAUUAUGAAAAAUGUUCUAUCUAUUCUCAAAUAGUAGUGACUGAGAAAUCCUUGGUCAAGAUGGAAUGAAAUUUUUAAAAGAGUUUUAAAUCUUAUUCAAAUGAUCAAUAACUAUUAUAUAAAGAAUAAACAUUAUUUAACAUGGUUGAUAUACUCUAUGUUUUUAUGUUAAAUUGAAACAAUAUUGAUAAAAGAAUAUUAAUUACACUGAGAAAUCGAUCACUGAAAGGCUAAGUCAAACCACUUAUGACUUUUCUAAUAUUUUAGGGAUCAUGACACGUUACUAGACGAUACACAUGAUCUUCAAAUAUAAAUUAAUCAAUUAUUGAAUUUGUAAUAAAUUAAAAUUAUUUAUUUAUUUAAUUAUAAUUGUGGCACCCGACAUCGUGGCGGCCCAUAAAAUAAUCCUUGAAUUAUGGAAAAAAGAACAUAUUUCUGGCAUCUUGUUCUUUUAGGAAAAAUAGUGUUGUUUAAGGAGUCGCCACCUAGUAUUAUGGUCACUAGGAACCCUAACUAGUCAACAGAGAUUUUAUGGUACGGGACUGGUUACGUAAAAGGAAUGAUAUUAUCACCCUUUAAACAUUCUGCCUGAGGCAAACUGCAUUGCUGAUUUUUUCUUAAAUUGCUAAACAUUUAUUCGCUUAUGCUAUGAUGAUUUGUUUAUAAUAUUCCUGACUCUGACGCUAGUGAAUAUUCGAUCUUUAAAUAAUUCCAACUCUGGCGUUGGUAAAAAUUCCACCAUGAAUAAUUCCAAUUCUGGUGUUGAUAAAAAAAAAAUUUCACCAUGAAUAAUUCCAACUCUGACAUUGGUAAAAAUUCCACCACAAAUAAUUCCAACUCUAGCAUUGGUACAAAUUCAUGGCUAUGAAAAAAUCAAUAUAUUUUCUUUUUUAUUCAUGACCCCGAUAUCAUUGAAUAAGUUGAUAAAAAUACAUAUAUUUUUUAAGAUAUGCAAAAAAUUUUAUUUCAAAACUUUCUACUUUUUUUUUGUUUUUUAUAUUUUUUUUAGUUUUGGGCUAAUAUUUUUUUUUUUGAGCUGGUCAUAUGGGCUGGGCCACCGGCACGCGUGGUUCAAACCACGCGUGCAAUGCGAAGGCUUACCUGGCGAUUCGAAGGCGCAGGCGACAGCAACAGAUCGAGCACUCCCGGAGAAUUCUAUCUUCCUCCUCCUCUCAGUCCCUUCCCCUCUGUUCGUGUGUUUCUGUUUGUUGGGUUUUUUUUUCUUACCGUCUGCUCUCCUCUGCUUUCCUCUUCUGUUCGUGUUCUCUGCCUUCUCACCGCUGCGUUCACUGUUCUCCCUUCUUCUCAGUUCUUGAGGUGAGCUAACUAAGAAAGUAAUGCAUAUGCCAUCUUUACUGAGUUUUUUUACUGACUUCGGGUUCUUCUUUUUCUGCAGGGACGAAGACAGUAACAAGGCUGAUUCUUCUCUGUGUUGCCCCUCCCUUUUCUCCUUCUCUCUGUGAAUUUGUGCUUUGGAUUUAUGCUCUGCUUUUCUCUCUCUUCUUUUCUCUGAUUUUGUUCUCUGGUUUUUCGUCUGGGUUUAGCUAGAGUUUUUCCUCGGUUUCUCGUCCAAAAUCCCACUGUUUUCCCUCCUUUCAGCCCCCGGUUUUUCUUCCUUUUUCCCCUCCCGCGCUCUCUCGUCUCUCUGGCUUUAUAACCAGAGAAUACCAACCAUUUGAAACGGCUUCAAAGCCAUUACUGCUAGAAACGGCUCCUGAGGAUGAAGGCGAUGAACAGCUUCUAAAAACGGUGUCGUUUGUGUGAUGGGAAUGGCCAUUUUCAAUCUGGUCACUGAAGUUCUAAACGCGUGCAAUCAAGCCCCUGUGUAAAUUGUAAUUGGACCCCUUUAUUUCUGCGCUUUUUACAAGCUAAUCCUUGGAUUUUAAUUUUUCAAUCUUGACCCCAAACUUUAAUAUUUCUACAAUUAAGUCCCUGAAUAAGUUAAUUCCAAGCUUAAUUAAGUCUAAAACUUGUCAAUUCUUCAAUUAAACCCUAGAUUGGAAUAAUUAUAUUAAUUCCAAGCUUAAUUAAGUCUCAAAACUUUAUCAAUUUUCCAAUUAAACCCUUGAUUAGAUUAAUUAAAUUAAUUCCAAGUUCAAUUAAGUCUUAAAACUUAUCAAUUCUCCAAUUAAACCCUUAAUUGGAUUAAUUGAAUUAAUUCCAAGCUCAAUUAAGUCUUAAAACUUAUCAAUUCUCCAAUUAAACCCUUAAUUGGAUUAAUUAUAUUAAUUUCAAAGUUUAAUUAAACCCCAAAAACUUCCAAUCAUGUUGCCCUUAAUCCAAAUUUUAAUUCAUUCUUUAUUUAUUUCAUUUUACUUGUUUUUCAUCAUUAUUAUCAUUUUUUAUCCUUUUCAGUAAAUAAAAUAAUAAUAACAAUUGUAAAUACACCGCAUUACUAAAUGUUGCCACGUUAGCUUUAAAAUUGGAGAAGUUUUUAAAAUUUUGAGUAGUACUUUAAGAUCAUUGGAAAAUGGCUAUAAAAUACAGUGCCAGAAUAACAAUAGCAAACUCAUUUCCUUUUCAUUUUUAACCUCCAUCUCUACCAUUUUCCCCAUUUUACCCAAGAUCAUUGGUGAGAUGGCCCGCGGAGCCAACGCCCCAUCUGUCCCUCCAGUGUGGGAAAGACAUGUCCUUAAUGCAACUGAACCACCUCGAGUUACAUGCAGACACCGAGCGUACGAGGAGGUAGCUGGCUCCACGAGCUCAAUUCUUACCCAUGAUCAUCUGGUUCAUCGUUCAUUUUUCUUUAGCCCUUCAUAUAACGGCUCUUCGAAGAUUGGUCCCACCUCACCUCAGCCAUUGUUCUAGUUUCGAAAUAUUAACGGCAUGUCUUUGGAUAUGUCGGACCAUUGCCCUCCAACCAGAUCCUAAUGAAGAAAUGCGCAUAAUUUGCCUCGUCAACGCACGUGAAAAAUUCAACCCUCCAUUAUUACCAAGAGGUUACUAUGGUAAUGGUUUUGGUCUUCUAGCAGCAGUAGCCACUGCGGGGGAACUUUCGAGAAAGCCAAUUGGAUAUGCUUUGGAGCUGGUAAGGAAGGCUAAGGCGGACAUGACUGAGGAGUACUUGCGAUCCACAGCAUCGUUGAUGGUGAGCAAGGGAAGGCCUCUUUUUACUGUGCCAGGGACCUACAUAGUGUCGGACUUGAGACGUGCCGGACUUGAAAAGGUAGAUUUCGGAUGGGGAAAUGCUAUCUAUGGUGGGACUGCAAAAGCCAUCCCUGAACUUGCAAGCUUUUAUAUUCCGUUUACAAAUAAGAAAGGAGAAGAUGGGAUCGUUGUACCAUUUUGUUUGCCAUCUCCUGCUGUGGAAAGAUUUUACAAGGAGCUUGAAGGCAUGCUAAAGGGACAGCUAGUUAGCGGAGGAGCAAAUUCCAAGUUAAUCGUAUCUUCUUUAUAGGUUAAAUUGUUUACUCUUAUUUUCUAUGUACCACAUAUCAUUUAUGUAUGCUGCGUUUGAAUUUCAUUUUUUAAUAUUAGUACGACAUUUACCUUUUAUGUCCAUUCAGCAUGUGUUAUAUAUGAUUAUUAAUAAUAUGAGUGUUUGUUUUUGUAAUUCUUUUUAUGGCUGUUAUUUAAAAAAAAUAAUUUAAAUUGUAGUUGGAUAUCAAAUAAUCAAAGAGGAUAUUAAUUUUUUUUCAUACAUGACAUUAAACAUUUAAUAUAUAAGUAAGAUCAACUACUUGUAACAUAAAAACUUUUAUAAUUCUCUCAUCAAACUUAAAGUAGUUUGACAAGAAUGAUGAUUGUUGUUGAAACAUUAUUUUAUAGGUUUUACAAUCAUUUAUGGCAAAAAAAAAAAAAAACCAACGACACACAACAUCUAUAACUGAGGUUUUAAGAAGAGAAGAGGUCAAUGGAAGAAAUUGUGAACUAUUGAUAGAAUCAAGAAGACGAUAAGAAGCAGGUCAGGAAGAGUAGAGAGGAGAGGAGGGAUAUUUUGGUCAAGAGAUAAUUGAACGGUCUUCAAUGUUCCAUAAGUAAGUAUGAACCUAUAUUGUGGGACCAUAAUUAUUAUAUGGGUCUUACAUUCUUCAACCAACAUUUUAAAUGUUUUUCAGAGAAUCAUUAAUUGAGGAUGCGCCACAUCAUAUUUUCUACUACAAAAAUAAAUACAUUCAUAAACACACGGUUGACAAAUUUAUGCUUGAAGAAAAGGACUCCAUUUCAUAUUUAUAACCGAUGGACUUUUUCCUAAUUCUUACACAUGAUCAUCUGGCUCAUCCUUCGUUUUUCUUUAGCCCUUCAGAUAUAACUGCUCUUCGAAGAUUGGUCUCACCUCACCUCAGCCAUGUUCUAGUUUCGAAAUAUUAACGGCAUGUCUUUGGAUAUGUCGGACCAUUGCCUCCAACCAGAUCCUAAGAUAAUGAAGAAAGCUUCAUAAUUUGCCCUCGUCAACGCACGUGAAAAUUCAACCCUCCAUUAUUACCAAGAGGUUACUAUGUAAUGGUUUUUUCUUCUAGCAGCAGUAGCGACUGCAGGUGAACUUUUGAAUGACCAAAGGUCAUUUUGGAUCAUGUAAUCUACAGGAUCCACGGCUAUGUUAGGUCCUGCAGAGAGGCAUACCCAAGGUUAUGUUGGGUCCUCCAGUCUCUAUAACCUGAAGCUAGUUUAGGUUCUACCCGACUCCCCAGACUCAAAGCUAUUUUGGAUUCUAUACCCGGCCAAACCCUAUGCUAUUUUGAGUCUUGCCCCGAUCUAACCCAAGGCUAUUCUUGGUCCUGCAGAGGCUAGGAUCCAAGGAUAUUUAGGGUUUUGCCCGGCCGGAACCAAAACUAUUUUGAGUUUUGUCCAACUCGAAUCCAUAGUUAUUAAGGUCCUGAACCAGCCAGAACCCAAAUCUAUUUGGGUUCUGCAUAAUAUUGGACCCAACAUAGAUUUUAUAGUAUUAAUAAUAAGAGUAAACAGAUAAGGGAGGAAGAAAUUAUUAAGGGAGCAAGAAAUACUGAUGCAUAUCAAACACUACGAAGUCUAUCAAGCCAUCAUAAGAGUAGACAAAUAGCAAAAUUAUAAGCUAUUAUAUUGGUGAAACCUACCAUGAUUAUUUGUAUGUUCUGAUAUAUAUAUAUAUAUAUAUAUAUAUAUAUAUAUAUAUUUUAUAGUUGUUAUAGUUACUAUAAAAUUACUUUCAAAAUUUUAUUAGAAAAAUGAUCUCAAAAUUUUAAUUUCAAAUCGUAAUCUUUCUUGUUAGUGCAAGUUGAGGAGGAAAAAGU